This 497-nucleotide ribosomal RNA is filed under the name uncultured bacterium. RNAcentral describes it as "partial 16S ribosomal RNA". It matches the Rfam family "Bacterial small subunit ribosomal RNA", at positions 28 to 507 of the family's 1533-position model. The record is from RNAcentral.
GAUGAACGCUGGCGGCGUGCCUAAUACAUGCAAGUCGAGCGAACGGACGAUAAUCUUGCUUCUCUGAUGUUAUCGGCUGACGUGUGAGUAACACGUGUAUAACCUACCUAUAAUACUGGUAUAACUUCGUGAAACCGGAUCUAAUACCGUAUAAUAUUUUGAACCUCAUUGUUCAUAAGUUAAAUUCGUUCUUUCUGUCUCUUAUAGAUGUAUCCUCGCUGCAUUAGCUAGUUGGUAAGGUAACGGCCUACCAAGGCAACGAUGCAUAGCCGACCUGAGAGGGUGAGCGGCCACACUGGAAGGGAGAAACGGAAAAGAGAACGACGGGAGGAAGCAGUAGGGAAGAGUCCGCAAUGGGCGAAAGCAUGACGGAGCAAAGCCGAGUGAGAGAAGAAGGACUACGGAUCGUAAAAAUCUGUUAUUAGGGAAGAAAAUAAGUGUAAGAAACUGUGCACAUAAUGACGGUAACUAAAAAGAAAGCAACGGCUAACUACGUG